GAGAGGAUCUCUUUCUGGUGAUCACUCCUUUUGGAGUUUUCUACUAUGUGACUAGGAUGUGGGCUGGAGAGUAAAACACUCAGAACCGAAGAGAUGCUCUGAUGGCCCCAAGGUGAUGUCUCCUAGAGCAGACAGAGAGCUGUUUGUAAUAUAACUGGAGAGAACAGGAGAGGAGGAGCAGCAUCUGAGAGGAAAAUAGUGCACCCUAUGGUAAGGGUCGAGAGGAUAUGUGGUCCCUUGGUCUCUCCUGUGGCUACAGAGGAACAUUUGUCUGUCUCUAGACAGAGAAAGUAAAUUAAGCUGAACUCCUUCCAUUCUGGUCCCUGCAGCACCUCUAAGUACAGAAUGACUAUGGAUAGCAGAUUUGAAUUCUGUAAAACUGGAAUUCACUGCAAGUAACCACCUAUCGAUAGUUAUUUCUGUCUCUUUCUGUAUGUAUUCUUAGGUCACUCUGUUGCUUGUUUCCAGGUUUUUCUUAACAAAUAACCUGUUAAUAGUCUUACUUCCACUUGUUUGCUGUUGUAACAAAUCUCAAUUAUGUAUCAUAAGGAAAUGUCAUGGAUUGAAGAUAUGAAAUAUAUGUAUGUCUGCUCAUUUAUCAGGGUGUUUUUACAACUGUAACAUAGCUGCUGUUACUGAAGCGCUAUUUUUCUUAGUUCCUAACACUGUUGUCUAAGAAAUAAGCAAUGUUGUAAUCUGUUAUAUCACAGUAGAAUACAUACUCUGGAAGAAGACCUACAGCCUACUGCCAUCCC
Molecule: long non-coding RNA, 755 nt
Organism: Lagopus muta (rock ptarmigan)
Lineage: Eukaryota; Metazoa; Chordata; Aves; Galliformes; Phasianidae
Exons: 3
Source: RefSeq, a predicted model, not a curated record